UACGUAGGCAGCAAGCGUUGUCCGGAAUUAUUGGGCGUAAAGAGCUCGUAGGCGGUCUGUCGCGUCGGCUGUGAAAACCCGGGGCUCAACCUCGAACUUGCGGUGGGUACGGGCAGACUAGAGUGUGGUAGGGGGAGACUGGAAUUCCUGGUGUAGCGGUGAAAAUGCGUAGAGAUCGGUAGGAACACCAGUGGCGAAGGCGGUCUCCUGGAGCAUUUCUUGACGCUGAGACGCGAAAAGCUGGGGGGGAGCGAACGGGG
Molecule: ribosomal RNA, 260 nt
Filed under: uncultured bacterium
Lineage: Bacteria
Description: partial 16S ribosomal RNA
Rfam family: Bacterial small subunit ribosomal RNA
Source: RNAcentral